UACGAACCGUCCAAACGUUAUUCGGAUUCAUGGGGCUUAAAGGGUACGUAGGCGGCGCUAUCAGUCGGGUGUGAAAGCCCUCGGCUCAACCGAGGAACUGCGCCCGAUACUGUAGUGCUUGAGGGAGACGGAGGUAAGCGGAACUGAUGGUGGAGCGGUGAAAUGCGUUGAUAUCAUCAGGAACACCGGUGGCGAAAGCGGCUUACUGGGUCUCUUCUGACGCUGAGGUACGAAAGCUAGGGGAGCGAACGGG
This 253-nucleotide ribosomal RNA is filed under the name uncultured bacterium. RNAcentral describes it as "partial 16S ribosomal RNA". It matches the Rfam family "Bacterial small subunit ribosomal RNA", at positions 524 to 776 of the family's 1533-position model. The record is from RNAcentral.